CAGCCGCCACGGGAAUACGUAGGUGGCAAGCGUUGUCCGGAAUCAUAGGGCGUAAAGCGCGCGCAGGUGGUUUAAUAAGUCUGAUGUGAAAGCCCACGGCUCAACCGUGGAGGGUCAUUGGAAACUGUUAAACUUGAGUGCAGGAGAGAAAAGUGGAAUUCCUAGUGUAGCGGUGAAAUGCGUAGAGAUUAGGAGGAACACCAGUGGCGAAGGCGGCUUUUUGGCCUGUAACUGACACUGAGGCGCGAAAGCGUGGGGAGCAAACAGGAUUAGAUACCCGUGUAGUCCCUGUCUCUUAUAC
This 301-nucleotide ribosomal RNA is filed under the name uncultured bacterium. Its description in RNAcentral is "partial 16S ribosomal RNA". It matches the Rfam family "Bacterial small subunit ribosomal RNA", at positions 509 to 807 of the family's 1533-position model. The record is from RNAcentral.